ACUUGUAUGAAUAGUAAAUUAGUAAUAAGAAAAAUCAUCUUCAAUUACAUUGGCUUUUUGGAUUUUUUUACCACUAAAAUCACACCACAUUAUUCAUUGAGAAUACUUCUCUGUGUAUGCUGCUUCUAGAUGCUAGGAAUCAUUCUAUUGUAGUUACAUAUGUGGUCAAAAAUUAUAAAUUGGUAAGCAGAUGCACGCAUGGUUGUGUUCAGAUGUCUAGACUUUAGGAGUUAACGUGCCUGCCUGCCUUAUGUUAGAGUUGAAGAACAAGCUAUAUGUUUGUCCUUAUAUCAUGAUUUGUUUUGUUAAUUUUUCAUAUUUGAAUAUGUUUUGAUGGGACUGGCUGUUUACUCUCUGAUUAUAUUACCCUCUGACCCAUCAACAGGCAGUAGCUGCUGGAAGCCUAAUG
Molecule: unclassified non-coding RNA, 409 nt
Filed under: Hevea brasiliensis (rubber tree)
Lineage: Eukaryota; Viridiplantae; Streptophyta; Magnoliopsida; Malpighiales; Euphorbiaceae
Source: RNAcentral